Molecule: ribosomal RNA, 251 nt
Filed under: uncultured bacterium
Lineage: Bacteria
Description: partial 16S ribosomal RNA
Rfam family: Bacterial small subunit ribosomal RNA
Source: RNAcentral
ACGUAGGUGGCAAGCGUUGUCCGGAUUUAUUGGGCGUAAAGCGAGCGCAGGCGGUUCUUUAAGUCUGAUGUGAAAGCCCCCGGCUCAACCGGGGAGGGUCAUUGGAAACUGGGAAACUUGAGUGCAGAAGAGGAGAGUGGAACUCCAUGUGUAGCGGUGAAAUGCGUAGAUAUAUGGAAGAACACCAGUGGCGAAGGCGACUCUCUGGUCUGUAAUUGACGCUGAGGCUCGAAAGCGUGGGUAGCAAACAG